GAAACAUCUAAGUACCCCGAGGAAAAGAAAUCAACUGAGAUUCCCCCAGUAGCGGCGAGCGAACGGGGAGGAGCCCAGAGCCUGAAUCAGUGUGUGUGUUAGUGGAAGCGUCUGGAAAGGCGCGCGAUACAGGGUGACAGCCCCGUACACAAAAAUGCACAUGCUGUGAGCUCGAUGAGUAGGGCGGGACACGUGGUAUCCUGUCUGAAUAUGGGGGGACCAUCCUCCAAGGCUAAAUACUCCUGACUGACCGAUAGUGAACCAGUACCGUGAGGGAAAGGCGAAAAGAACCCCGGCGAGGGGAGUGAAAAAGAACCUGAAACCGUGUACGUACAAGCAGUGGGAGCACAGAGCAAUCUGUGUGACUGCGUACCUUUUGUAUAAUGGGUCAGCGACUUAUAUUCUGUAGCAAGGUUAACCGAAUAGGGGAGCCGAAGGGAAACCGAGUCUUAACUGGGCGUUAAGUUGCAGGGUAUAGACCCGAAACCCGGUGAUCUAGCCAUGGGCAGGUUGAAGGUUGGGUAACACUAACUGGAGGACCGAACCGACUAAUGUUGAAAAAUUAGCGGAUGACUUGUGGCUGGGGGUGAAAGGCCAAUCAAACCGGGAGAUAGCUGGUUCUCCCCGAAAGCUAUUUAGGUAGCGCCUCGUGAAUUCAUCUCCGGGGGUAGAGCACUGUUUCGGCAAGGGGGUCAUCCCGACUUACCAACCCGAUGCAAACUGCGAAUACCGGAGAAUGUUAUCACGGGAGACACACGGCGGGUGCUAACGUCCGUCGUGAAGAGGGAAACAACCCAGACCGCCAGCUAAGGUCCCAAAGUCAUGGUUAAGUGGGAAACGAUGUGGGAAGGCCCAGACAGCCAGGAUGUUGGCUUAGAAGCAGCCAUCAUUUAAAGAAAGCGUAAUAGCUCACUGGUCGAGUCGGCCUGCGCGGAAGAUGUAACGGGGCUAAACCAUGCACCGAAGCUGCGGCAGCGACGCUUAUGCGUUGUUGGGUAGGGGAGCGUUCUGUAAGCCUGUGAAGGUGUACUGUGAGGUAUGCUGGAGGUAUCAGAAGUGCGAAUGCUGACAUAAGUAACGAUAAAGCGGGUGAAAAGCCCGCUCGCCGGAAGACCAAGGGUUCCUGUCCAACGUUAAUCGGGGCAGGGUGAGUCGACCCCUAAGGCGAGGCCGAAAGGCGUAGUCGAUGGGAAACAGGUUAAUAUUCCUGUACUUGGUGUUACUGCGAAGGGGGGACGGAGAAGGCUAUGUUGGCCGGGCGACGGUUGUCCCGGUUUAAGCGUGUAGGCUGGUUUUCCAGGCAAAUCCGGAAAAUCAAGGCUGAGGCGUGAUGACGAGGCACUACGGUGCUGAAGCAACAAAUGCCCUGCUUCCAGGAAAAGCCUCUAAGCAUCAGGUAACAUCAAAUCGUACCCCAAACCGACACAGGUGGUCAGGUAGAGAAUACCAAGGCGCUUGAGAGAACUCGGGUGAAGGAACUAGGCAAAAUGGUGCCGUAACUUCGGGAGAAGGCACGCUGAUAUGUAGGUGAAGUCCCUCGCGGAUGGAGCUGAAAUCAGUCGAAGAUACCAGCUGGCUGCAACUGUUUAUUAAAAACACAGCACUGUGCAAACACGAAAGUGGACGUAUACGGUGUGACGCCUGCCCGGUGCCGGAAGGUUAAUUGAUGGGGUCAGCGCAAGCGAAGCUCUUGAUCGAAGCCCCGGUAAACGGCGGCCGUAACUAUAACGGUCCUAAGGUAGCGAAAUUCCUUGUCGGGUAAGUUCCGACCUGCACGAAUGGCGUAAUGAUGGCCAGGCUGUCUCCACCCGAGACUCAGUGAAAUUGAACUCGCUGUGAAGAUGCAGUGUACCCGCGGCAAGACGGAAAGACCCCGUGAACCUUUACUAUAGCUUGACACUGAACAUUGAGCCUUGAUGUGUAGGAUAGGUGGGAGGCUUGGAAGUGUGGACGCCAGUCUGCAUGGAGCCGACCUUGAAAUACCACCCUUUAAUGUUUGAUGUUCUAACGUUGACCCGUGAUCCGGGUUGCGGACAGUGUCUGGUGGGUAGUUUGACUGGGGCGGUCUCCUCCUAAAGAGUAACGGAGGAGCACGAAGGUUGGCUAAUCCUGGUCGGACAUCAGGAGGUUAGUGCAAUGGCAUAAGCCAGCUUGACUGCGAGCGUGACGGCGCGAGCAGGUGCGAAAGCAGGUCAUAGUGAUCCGGUGGUUCUGAAUGGAAGGGCCAUCGCUCAACGGAUAAAAGGUACUCCGGGGAUAACAGGCUGAUACCGCCCAAGAGUUCAUAUCGACGGCGGUGUUUGGCACCUCGAUGUCGGCUCAUCACAUCCUGGGGCUGAAGUAGGUCCCAAGGGUAUGGCUGUUCGCCAUUUAAAGUGGUACGCGAGCUGGGUUUAGAACGUCGUGAGACAGUUCGGUCCCUAUCUGCCGUGGGCGCUGGAGAACUGAGGGGGGCUGCUCCUAGUACGAGAGGACCGGAGUGGACGCAUCACUGGUGUUCGGGUUGUCAUGCCAAUGGCACUGCCCGGUAGCUAAAUGCGGAAGAGAUAAGUGCUGAAAGCAUCUAAGCACGAAACUUGCCCCGAGAUGAGUUCUCCCUGACUCCUUGAGAGUCCUGAAGGAACGUUGAAGACGACGACGUUGAUAGGCCGGGUGUGUAAGCGCAGCGAUGCGUUGAGCUAACCGGUACUAAUGAACCGUGAGGCUUAACCUUACAACGCCGAAGGUGUUU
RNAcentral lists this ribosomal RNA (2731 nucleotides) under Escherichia coli. RNAcentral describes it as "partial 23S ribosomal RNA". It matches the Rfam family "Bacterial large subunit ribosomal RNA". Lineage: Bacteria; Pseudomonadati; Pseudomonadota; Gammaproteobacteria; Enterobacterales; Enterobacteriaceae. The record is from RNAcentral.